This 209-nucleotide ribosomal RNA is filed under the name uncultured bacterium. RNAcentral describes it as "partial 16S ribosomal RNA". It matches the Rfam family "Bacterial small subunit ribosomal RNA", at positions 1292 to 1500 of the family's 1533-position model. The record is from RNAcentral.
UUCGGAUUGCAGGCUGCAACUCGCCUGCAUGAAGUCGGAAUUGCUAGUAAUCGCGGAUCAGCAUGCCGCGGUGAAUACGUUCCCGGGCCUUGUACACACCGCCCGUCACACCAUGAGAGCCGGUAAUACCCGAAGUUAGUAUCCUAACCGCAAGGAGGGAGCUGCCGAAGGUAGGAUUGGCGAUUGGGGUGAAGUCGUAACAAGGUAAC